This 404-nucleotide ribosomal RNA is filed under the name Actinomycetes bacterium. RNAcentral's name for it is "Actinobacteria bacterium partial 16S ribosomal RNA". It matches the Rfam family "Bacterial small subunit ribosomal RNA", at positions 355 to 776 of the family's 1533-position model. Lineage: Bacteria; Bacillati; Actinomycetota; Actinomycetes. The record is from RNAcentral.
UAGGGAAUCUUCCGCAAUGGGCGCAAGCCUGAUCCAGCCAUGCCGCGUGAGUGAUGAAGGCCCUAGGGUUGUAAAGCUCUUUCACCGGUGAAGAUAAUGACGGUAACCGGAGAAGAAGCCCCGGCUAACUUCGUGCCAGCAGCCGCGGUAAUACGAAGGGGGCUAGCGUUGUUCGGAUUUACUGGGCGUAAAGCGCACGUAGGCGGACUUUUAAGUCAGGGGUGAAAUCCCGGGGCUCAACCCCGGAACUGCCUUUGAUACUGGAAGUCUUGAGUAUGGUAGAGGUGAGUGGAAUUCCGAGUGUAGAGGUGAAAUUCGUAGAUAUUCGGAGGAACACCAGUGGCGAAGGCGGCUCACUGGACCAUUACUGACGCUGAGGUGCGAAAGCGUGGGGAGCAAACAGG